UACGUAGGGGGCAAGCGUUGUCCGGAAUCAUUGGGCGUAAAGAGCGUGUAGGCGGUCCGGUAAGUCCGCUGUGAAAGUCGGGGGCUCAACCCUCGAAUGCCGGUGGAUACUGUCGGGCUAGAGUGCGGAAGAGGCGAGUGGAAUUCCUGGUGUAGCGGUGAAAUGCGCAGAUAUCAGGAAGAACACCCGUGGCGAAAGCGGCUCUCUGGGACGGUACUGACGCUGAGACGCGAAAGCGUGGGGAGCGAACAGG
Molecule: ribosomal RNA, 253 nt
Filed under: uncultured bacterium
Lineage: Bacteria
Description: partial 16S ribosomal RNA
Rfam family: Bacterial small subunit ribosomal RNA
Source: RNAcentral